ACCAGAUUAGACAAAGAAAAGCAAGCCUCUGCACAGGGGUUUGGAGCAAGGUGUUGACCAAAAUUUGGAUGUCAGAACUCAAGCAGGGAGAAGAGGUUAUCCCUGGGGGAUGGUGUGGGGACUAGGGAAUGGUCACCCAGCAUGAGAUGUCAGAGUCUAAGUAGGGUGAGAAGGGUGUCCAUGUGGGCCAUGUGGGUGGAUGAGUGGGCAAGGAGUGGUUGUCCAGCCUAGGGUGUCAGAUUUCACGUGGCUUAGAGAGGGCAUCUGCCAAGGAUGGGAGUGGGAGCUGAGACGAGGUUGAAUUAUUUAAGUGAAUGUGUUAAGAAUAAUGUGACCCAUGUCUCUCACUGGCAGGCAAAAGAGUCACAAAAAAGAAAAAAAAUAGCUGUAGUGUUGGAUUGGAAUUAUAAAUAUUGGGGCUAGAGUGCAGUGGUGCGAUCUCGGCUCACUACAACUCCUACCUCCUGAGUUCAAGCGAUUCUCCUGCCUCAGCCUCCCGAGUAGCCAGGACUACAGUGUCGAGGUCAUGAAAGCCACUGAAAGACUGAGAACUGUUCCAGAAAGGAGACUAGAGAGACAUGGCAGCCAAAUGCUCCACAUAAUCCUGUCCUGGAUUCUUCUCCUACAAAGGAAGGGGUCUGAGGAUUAGGUGGUAGUACUGAAUCAAGGAACUAUCAUCUCCUAUUGUGCUGUAGGCAAACUUGAGUGACAUGGUGGAAGCCACCAGAGAGAAUAUCUGAAGCAAUUCAUUAAAAUCUUGGCAGCCAGACCCCAGCUCCCACUUUCCCUGAAAGCUCCCUUUAAUGAAGCUGAACGCUGUCCCAGCAAUUCCCUCCACAGAAGACCUACUGUCACCACCUCUGGAGGGGCAAUUCCUGGAGGAACCAAGUCAGCCAAUCGAAGGUCCUGAAUAAGCAAAAACUAAGUAAAUAAAUUACCAUCUCGAA
RNAcentral lists this long non-coding RNA (947 nucleotides) under Homo sapiens (human). The record is from RNAcentral. Lineage: Eukaryota; Metazoa; Chordata; Mammalia; Primates; Hominidae.